AACGAACGCUGGCGGCAUGCCUAACACAUGCAAGUCGAACGAGACCUUCGGGUCUAGUGGCGCACGGGUGCGUAACGCGUGGGAACCUGCCUUUAGGUUCGGAAUAACUCAGAGAAAUUUGAGCUAAUACCGGAUAAUGUCUUCGGACCAAAGAUUUAUCGCCUUUAGAUGGGCCCGCGUUGGAUUAGCUAGUUGGUGGGGUAAAGCCUACCAAGGCGACGAUCCAUAGCUGGUCUGAGAGGAUGAUCAGCCACACUGGGACUGAGACACGGCCCAGACUCCUACGGGAGGCAGCAGUGGGGAAUAUUGGACAAUGGGCGAAAGCCUGAUCCAGCAAUGCCGCGUGAGUGAUGAAGGCUUAGGUGUAAAGCUCUUUUACCCGAGAUGAUAAUGACAGUAUCGGGA
RNAcentral lists this ribosomal RNA (405 nucleotides) under uncultured bacterium. RNAcentral describes it as "bacterial SSU rRNA". It matches the Rfam family "Bacterial small subunit ribosomal RNA", at positions 29 to 483 of the family's 1533-position model. The record is from RNAcentral.